This 2393-nucleotide long non-coding RNA is filed under the name Mus musculus (house mouse). RNAcentral's name for it is "long non-coding RNA chr8:25831099-25833492". The record is from RNAcentral. Lineage: Eukaryota; Metazoa; Chordata; Mammalia; Rodentia; Muridae.
AAAAGCUCUCUUCCAUUAUCAUUUCCCAAGUAUUUAGUGAGCUGCUACAGUAUGCAUGUCAAUUUAAAAACACUUUAGUAAUUACCCAGGUUUGGCUCCUCCUACAGAGCACCACAUUGCAGGCAAGGCUUUCAUCAUUCACAAAGCUUCUGACAAGAUACUUAAACACAUACCAUUUAGGUUCCCACUAGCAGACACAGCACUGCUUUGUUUCUGGUUGUCAUAAGCAGGACCAAUAUUACUAAGAUCCUAGAAGAAGAAAUAUCCUAGUAAAAAAAAGGCCACAUGAGCAAAUUAAUCUGGCAACUGCUCCAAAAAUGGACAAAAUUAGAGCACAGAAAAUCAAAGUCAUGUCCUAAACAGCAAGCUGCAAGGUCCUCAACUUGGAUGCUUCAACAACUCACGAAGGAGCAUGUGCCAUGAGUCAGGGUCAGAAUGGUUCCAGGAGGGAACUGACCAAUCAACCGGUAGGCGGGAGCUGCACAGCAGGCCAGGACGAUGAAGUCCCCUCACUCUGCCCUCACAGCUGAGCUGUCCCACUGUAUGUGACAGCAACCUGAAUCUUCACUGUCCAUGCUAUAACAGUGACCACCUAGAGGCACCGCAGCUCUUCAAUCUGCAUGGGUAGCAGUGAGCUCCCACCUCAGCGACUGGGAAGGUGGCUGAGGACAGAGGUCCCCACAGUGUCAUGCUACACUGACAGAUCUCAUCUCAAAAAAGGCAGCAAGUCAGACACUUUAAGGCAAAUCUUCUUAGUUGCCAAUGUGUCCUUUGCAACAAAAAAUGGAAAUUUCUUUUUCCCAUAAGGAUCUAACAACAGAUUCCCCAGAAAUUUCUUCACACUAAAGAAUGCUUUUAGAAGCAAAAUUUCAGAUAACAGGAAGAUUAGAAAAAAACUUACAAAAAGUAAUCCCUAACACCGAGGAACAACCAGAAUCAAAACCGGUUCCUGAGCCAGGCACUGCGCCUCACACACGUAACCCCAGCAGAGAGAGCCAAGGCAGGAAGAACAGUCUUGAGUUUAAGCUAACCUGGGCUACAGUGAGAUCCUGUGACAAAGAGAUCACCACUAACUCCUGGGAACCGGGGAGCUGGGGAUAUGAACUCUUAUUUUAAGGCUUGAACACUUUUUAUUUGAGUCAAGGCCUCAUGUAGCCCAGGCUGGCCUCAAACUCGUGCUCUUCCUUGUUUGCACCUCCUCACUGCAUCACCAUGAACACACCAGGACUCCCAGGCAAGGACUGCUCUCAACUCGGCCACAUCCCUGGCCACAUGCUUCACCGCCCCUAAAUGGCUUCUGAUUAAAAAAAAAAGACUAUGGGGCAGGAGAGAUGGCUCAGUGGCUAGGAGCACUGCUGCUCUCCCAGCAGUCCCAGCUUGGAGUCCCCAGCACUGCAGGGAGCUCACAAGUGUCUGUAACUCGGGUUCCUAGAGCUCUGCUCCACUCCCUCGUCUGGCCUCUGCAGCCACACACAAACACAAUGCACAGACCUCAUACGGGAGAGAGAGACAGAGAGACAAAGAAGGAAGAUUAAUGUACCUGAUCCAAAAGUCCAAACUUGGGGUAAUCUUCUUCUGGGUCUUUGCUUCCUGGGUCAGGGUGUUCCUUUACCAAGAACACAUCUCUUUCCUUACUCUAAAAGGAAAUGGCAUCUUAGCAAGAAUGAGCAUUUUACUCACAAGUGUGGGGAUACUCACUCACCAACUGCCAAUGUCAAUGUCUAACUGUACUCUCCAAACCCAUCAGAAAAUCAGUGCAGACCAUAACAAGUCAAGUGAGAGCACUCAGAGCCCGGUCAGGCUGGGAGGCAGGAAGACCUCAGUGUGAGCCCUAGCACCACAAGAACACCAAGCAUGGCGGCUCCACACGGAAGGCCAGCACAAGGAACACAGAGGCAAGAGGAGAGACAAUGAGUUACAUGAGUUACAACUGUACUGGCACUCUGCAGGGAGAAGGCCGGGGGUCGGUCACCCUUGGCUACACACUGAGUUCAAUGCCUGGGCUACAAGAGACCUAAAAAUAACCAACAGGACAGUGAGGGCCAGUGCCCCACAACCCUCCUCUCUCCUCUUGCCUGGGUUAAGCAGACUUCUAAAGUCAAUGUUCAGAACAAGACUUUUCUUAUCUAAUGAAAAAAUUUAAAAAUGUAUCCAAAUUUAAUUUAAAAUUAAAUCUGCAAAAGUGUGGUGGACAGAGAUGGCUGGACCAGAGGGAUGGCUCAGUGCUUAAGAGCACCUGCUGCUUUCCAGAGCAUCCAGGUUUAGUUCCCAGCAUCAAUAUCAGGUGACUCAAAGCCAUCUAACUCCAAUUCCAGGGAUCCAAUGCCCCUUUCUGGUCUCUAUAGGUACACAUACACACACUCAAGCAUAUACAUAUAAAAUAAACAAAUCUU